RNAcentral lists this transfer RNA (63 nucleotides) under Ptyas major (Chinese green snake). RNAcentral's name for it is "tRNA-Asp". The record is from RNAcentral. Lineage: Eukaryota; Metazoa; Chordata; Lepidosauria; Squamata; Colubridae.
GAGAACCUAGUAAACAUAUUACAUGGCCUUGUCGUGGCCAAGUCACAACCUCUGUGGUCCUCA